GACGAACCGUGCGAACGGUGUUCGGAAUCACGGGGCUUAAAGGGUGCGUAGGCGGGUUGUCCAGUCUGGGGUGAAAUCCCACGGCUCAAUCGUGGAAUUGCCUCAGAUACUAACGACCUCGAGGGAGGUAGGGGCGAGCGGAACUGUGGGUGGAGCGGUGAAAUGCGUUGAUAUCCACAGGAACUCCGGUGGCGAAGGCGGCUCGCUGGACCUCUUCUGACGCUGAGGCACGGAAGCUAGGGGAGCAAACGGG
Molecule: ribosomal RNA, 253 nt
Filed under: uncultured bacterium
Lineage: Bacteria
Description: partial 16S ribosomal RNA
Rfam family: Bacterial small subunit ribosomal RNA
Source: RNAcentral